CCUACGGGAGGCAGCAGUGGGGAAUAUUGGACAAUGGGCGAAAGCCUGAUCCAGCAAUGCCGCGUGAGUGAUGAAGGCCUUAGGGUCGUAAAGCUCUUUUACCAGGGAUGAUAAUGACAGUACCUGGAGAAUAAGCUCCGGCUAACUCCGUGCCAGCAGCCGCGGUAAUACGGAGGGAGCUAGCGUUGUUCGGAAUUACUGGGCGUAAAGCGUACGUAGGCGGUUAUUCAAGUCAGAGGUGAAAGCCCGGGGCUCAACCCCGGAACGGCCUUUGAAACUAGAUAGCUAGAGUCUUGGAGAGGUCAGUGGAAUUCCGAGUGUAGAGGUGAAAUUCGUAGAUAUUCGGAAGAACACCAGUGGCGAAGGCGACUGACUGGACAAGUACUGACGCUGAGGUACGAAAGCGUGGGGAGCAAACAGGAUUAGAUACCCUGGUAGUCCACGCCGUAAACGAUGAUAACUANUGUCGGUACGUGUAUCUGGUGGCGCGAGCUACGACAUUAAGUUAUUCCGUCCGUCGGGUAGGUACGGUCGGUCGAGAGUAAACUACAAUAGAGUAGACGGUCGUGAGAGUUGUCCGACGGACGACGACGAGGGAGGAGG
RNAcentral lists this ribosomal RNA (603 nucleotides) under uncultured bacterium. RNAcentral's name for it is "bacterial SSU rRNA". The stretch from base 1 to 515 matches the Rfam family "Bacterial small subunit ribosomal RNA", at positions 338 to 873 of the family's 1533-position model. The record is from RNAcentral.